AUGAACGCUGGCGGCGUGCUUCACCCCUGCAAGUCGAACGGAAAGGCUCCUGCUUGCAGGGGUACUCGAGUGGCGAACGGGUGAGUAACACGUGGGUGAUCUGCCCUGCACUUCGGGAUAAGCCUGGGAAACUGGGUCUAAUACCGGAUAGGACGAUGGUUUGGAUGCCAUUGUGGAAAGUUUUUCGGUGUGGGAUGAGCUCGCGGCCUAUCAGCUUGUUGGUGGGGUAAUGGCCUACCAAGGCGUCGACGGGUAGCCGGCCUGAGAGGGUGUACGGCCACAUUGGGACUGAGAUACGGCCCAGACUCCUACGGGAGGCAGCAGUGGGGAAUAUUGCACAAUGGGCGCAAGCCUGAUGCAGCGACGCCGCGUGGGGGAUGACGGCCUUCGGGUUGUAAACUCCUUUCGCUAGGGACGAAGCGCAAGUGACGGUACCUGGAGAAGAAGCACCGGCUAACUACGUG
RNAcentral lists this ribosomal RNA (464 nucleotides) under uncultured bacterium. RNAcentral's name for it is "partial 16S ribosomal RNA". It matches the Rfam family "Bacterial small subunit ribosomal RNA", at positions 29 to 507 of the family's 1533-position model. The record is from RNAcentral.